Molecule: ribosomal RNA, 674 nt
Filed under: Enterococcus faecium
Lineage: Bacteria; Bacillati; Bacillota; Bacilli; Lactobacillales; Enterococcaceae
Description: bacterial SSU rRNA
Rfam family: Bacterial small subunit ribosomal RNA
Source: RNAcentral
GAGCUUGCUCCACCGGAAAAAGAGGAGUGGCGAACGGGUGAGUAACACGUGGGUAACCUGCCCAUCAGAAGGGGAUAACACUUGGAAACAGGUGCUAAUACCGUAUAACAAUCAAAACCGCAUGGUUUUGAUUUGAAAGGCGCUUUCGGGUGUCGCUGAUGGAUGGACCCGCGGUGCAUUAGCUAGUUGGUGAGGUAACGGCUCACCAAGGCCACGAUGCAUAGCCGACCUGAGAGGGUGAUCGGCCACAUUGGGACUGAGACACGGCCCAAACUCCUACGGGAGGCAGCAGUAGGGAAUCUUCGGCAAUGGACGAAAGUCUGACCGAGCAACGCCGCGUGAGUGAAGAAGGUUUUCGGAUCGUAAAACUCUGUUGUUAGAGAAGAACAAGGAUGAGAGUAACUGUUCAUCCCUUGACGGUAUCUAACCAGAAAGCCACGGCUAACUACGUGCCAGCAGCCGCGGUAAUACGUAGGUGGCAAGCGUUGUCCGGAUUUAUUGGGCGUAAAGCGAGCGCAGGCGGUUUCUUAAGUCUGAUGUGAAAGCCCCCGGCUCAACCGGGGAGGGUCAUUGGAAACUGGGAGACUUGAGUGCAGAAGAGGAGAGUGGAAUUCCAUGUGUAGCGGUGAAAUGCGUAGAUAUAUGGAGGAACACCAGUGGCGAAGGCGGCUCUC